Molecule: small nuclear RNA, 18 nt
Filed under: Arabidopsis thaliana (thale cress)
Lineage: Eukaryota; Viridiplantae; Streptophyta; Magnoliopsida; Brassicales; Brassicaceae
Description: snRNA_05464
Source: RNAcentral
UUUCCUUUACUCACACCA